This 515-nucleotide ribosomal RNA is filed under the name uncultured Staphylococcus sp. Its description in RNAcentral is "partial 16S ribosomal RNA". The record is from RNAcentral. Lineage: Bacteria; Bacillati; Bacillota; Bacilli; Caryophanales; Staphylococcaceae.
CACGUGGUUAGCCGUGGCUUUCUGAUUAGGUACCGUCAAGACGUGCACAGUUACUUACACAUUUGUUCUUCCCUAAUAACAGAGUUUUACGAUCCGAAGACCUUCAUCACUCACGCGGCGUUGCUCCGUCAGGCUUUCGCCCAUUGCGGAAGAUUCCCUACUGCUGCCUCCCGUAGGAGUCUGGACCGUGUCUCAGUUCCAGUGUGGCCGAUCACCCUCUCAGGUCGGCUACGUAUCGUUGCCUUGGUAAGCCAUUACCCCACCAACUAGCUAAUACGGCGCGGGUCCAUCUAUAAGUGAUAGCAAAACCAUCUUUCACUUUAGAACCAUGCGGUUCUAAAUAUUAUCCGGCAUUAGCCCCGGUUUCCCGGAGUUAUUCCAGUCUUAUAGGUAGGUUACCCACGUGUUACUCACCCGUCCGCCGCUAACGUCAAAGGAGCAAGCUCCUUAUCUGUUCGCUCGACUUGCAUGUAUUAGGCACGCCGCCAGCGUUCAUCCUGAGCCAGGAUCAAACU